RNAcentral lists this ribosomal RNA (460 nucleotides) under uncultured bacterium. RNAcentral's name for it is "partial 16S ribosomal RNA". It matches the Rfam family "Bacterial small subunit ribosomal RNA", at positions 338 to 795 of the family's 1533-position model. The record is from RNAcentral.
CCUACGGGAGGCAGCAGUGAGGAAUAUUGGUCAAUGGACGAGAGUCUGAACCAGCCAAGUAGCGUGAAGGAUGACUGCCCUAUGGGUUGUAAACUUCUUUUAUAAAGGAAUAAAACGAGGCACGUGUGCCUUUUUGCAUGUACGUUAUGAAUAAGGAUCGGCUAACUCAGUGCCAGCAGCCGCGGUAAGACGGAGGAUCCGAGCGUUGUCCGGAUUUAUUGGGUUGAAAGGGAGCGUAGAUGGGUUGUUAAAUCAGUUGUGAAAGUUUGCGGCUCAACCGUAAGAUUGCAAUUGUUACUGGCAUUCUUGAGUUCAGUUGAGGUAGGCGGAAUUCGUGGUGUAGCGGUGAAAUGCGUAGAUAUCACGAAGAAUCCCGAUUGCGAAGGCAGCUUACUAAACUGUGACUGACAUUGAUGCUCGAAAGUGUGGGUAUCAAACAGGAUUAGAUACCCUUGUAGUC